This 253-nucleotide ribosomal RNA is filed under the name uncultured bacterium. RNAcentral describes it as "partial 16S ribosomal RNA". It matches the Rfam family "Bacterial small subunit ribosomal RNA", at positions 524 to 776 of the family's 1533-position model. The record is from RNAcentral.
UACGUAGGUGGCAAGCGUUGUUCGGAAUUAUUGGGCGUAAAGGGCGCGUAGGCGGUUUGCUAAGUCAGUUGUGAAAGCCCGGGGCUCAACCCCGGAGGGUCGGCUGAUACUGGUGGACUAGAGUACGGAAGAGGUAGCUGGAAUUCCCGGUGUAGCGGUGAAAUGCGUAGAUAUCUGAAGGAACACCAGUGGCGAAGGCGGCUUUCUGGCCUAUUCUUGACGCUGAGGCGCGAAAGCUAGGGGAGCGAACGGG